Long non-coding RNA from Oncorhynchus tshawytscha (Chinook salmon), 767 nucleotides. NCBI's taxonomy places the organism in Eukaryota, Metazoa, Chordata, Actinopteri, Salmoniformes, Salmonidae. The record is from Ensembl.
CCCAAAGCCAAUUCCUCCUUUUUCCGCCUUUCCUUCCAGAUCUCUGCUGCCAAUGACUGGAACGAAUUGAAAAAAAUCACUGAAGCUGGAGACUCAUAUCUCCCUCACUAUCUUUAAGCAUCAGCCGUCAGAGCAGCUUACAGAUCAUUGCACCUAGAAUACUUCAAAAUGAGAAGAUCCUGCCAUGGAAAAGACGACUGGGCGGACAUAAAGUGUAAAGGAGGGGAAAUAACUCCCACCAUGCAGCAGGACACCUUCAGCUGUGUGGUCUUCGUAAUGCAGAACUUCUCCAACAUCCCCUCCCAAAUUGAUAUGGAACCUUCAAAAACACAUGGAGCAACUGGGAACAGAAAAUGGCUGAGGAUAUACUAAACAUGUCUGAGUUCAACAAAGCCAACAACCGCUUCAUGUGUGCCACUGAUAAAGAACCUGGAUGUGGCCCAAAGACUGACUGGGUUCGUAACUUUAUUUAACAUGUUCAUAAUCUUUUGACGACAGUGACGGCAUGUAAGACAAUUUGUGAUAUAACACAAUGGAUGGCUAAUUUGUCAUACUGCAUUGAUAUUUGAUAUUAUUUACAACGUGUUACACUUUGUUUUGUUUUGAUUGAUUGUUUUGCAUGCCAACGGGGGUUCCAUGUGCUGUGCCUAGGAAUGAAGACAAAAGAGUUCAACAGAGUGAAGAACACAAACUGGAUGUGCAGUCUUUGUUGUUGAAAAUGUAUGCUAUACCCCAUCCACACUGAAGAGGCUCUGACAUGUACAUCA